Non-coding RNA from Nylanderia fulva, 897 nucleotides. NCBI's taxonomy places the organism in Eukaryota, Metazoa, Arthropoda, Insecta, Hymenoptera, Formicidae. The record is from RefSeq and is a predicted model, not a curated record.
AACUGAUUCAAUAUAAAAAGAAUAUCUUAUAAACAUAUUUAUUUCUGAAAUGUAUCAUUCUUAAAAAAUCGACAGUGAAAUAUUUCGUAAGAGUAAAUAUUGCAUAUUCUUAUUUUUCUUUUUUGUCUUUUAUUACGAAAAUUUGUUUGUAAAUGUUUUAUUUACAAUGCUAGGGAGUUUUCCCGAUUCUUAAUUUAUCGAUGUCUUUCUAUAAUGUUCAUCAUACGAUAAAAUAAUCAACAAACACAGUUUCUCUCUGCGAGCAGGAUACGUAAAUUCCAUUAACGACCGCAUUCCCCGUAUUCCACGGGAUCGGCCAGCAUCGGAUAUAAGCGCACGCCAAUUCCGCGUGCGUCAUACGGUGACAUCAUUCUUAUUUGGCACGUAUUUACGUACACGUACACAUUCUCACGCUCGAAUACGCACACGUAAACGGUAUAUUGCAAUCUAUAUAUUCGUGAUCUGUAUACUCGAGUAUGCUAUCUGUGAUUAAAAGCGGAUCACGUUCGCUUAUGCUUCCUUAAGAUCAGCUGACUGUCAUAAACUCCAUUCAAGAAUGAAAUGCAGUUUAUAAAAAUGAACGAUUUCAAAAGAACUUGACAAUUUAUUUGUCGAUAAUUUGUCAAAUUAUUUACAUAUUGAUUUGUGCAAGUUGCAGGAACUUAUUUUUCUAUAUUGGAGUAAUCAGGAAUUUAAAAGAAUUAUAUUUUGUCGUGUUUAACACUGAAUGAACAACAAGACUGGCUGGAUGUAAGGAAGUCUUGUGUCCUGAAUUAACUUUUCUUUAUUAAAAAAAGAAGAAAAAAUAAGUCAAGAUUGUUUUGCAAACAAUCGGGAAAUUUUUGACGCUAACGUUUAUUUGAUUUGGACAAUAAACCGGCAUUAAUGACAUGUGAA